CCCUUAGAUGUCCUGGGCUGCACGCGUGCUACAAUGAUACGUGCAACGAGUUAAUCCUGCUCUGAAAGGAGUGGGUAAUCUUAUGAAUGCGUAUCGUGCUUGGGAUUGACCAUUGUAAUUAUUGGUCAUGAACGAGGAAUUCCUAGUAAGCACAAGUCAUCAGCUUGUGCUGAUUACGUCCCUGCCCUUUGUACACACCGCCCGUCGCUACUACCGAUUGAAUGGUUUAGUGAGGCCUUCUGACUGGCGCCGCUACUCUGGCAACAGAGCGGCGGAUGCCGGGAAGUUGGUCAAACUUGAUCAUUUAGAGGAAGUAAAAGUCGUAACA
This 328-nucleotide ribosomal RNA is filed under the name uncultured eukaryote. RNAcentral describes it as "partial 18S ribosomal RNA". It matches the Rfam family "Eukaryotic small subunit ribosomal RNA", at positions 1470 to 1796 of the family's 1831-position model. The record is from RNAcentral.